AGGAUGAACGCUGGGCGGCGUGCCUAACACAUGCAAGUCGAGCGGAGAUAAGUUGAAGCCUAGCGAUUCUUAUCUUAGCGGCGGAUGGGUGAGUAACACGUGGGUAACCUGCCCUGUACUGGGGAAUAACAGCUGGAAACGGCUGUUAAUGCCGCAUAUGCGCACGGAGCCGCAUGACUCUGGGCGGAAAGAUUUAUCGGUACAGGAUGGGCCCGCGACGGAUUAACUAGUUGGCGGGGUAACGGCCCACCAAGGUGAUGAUCCGUAGCCGACCUGAGAGGGUGACCGGCCACAUUGGGACUGAGACACGGCCCAAACUCCUACGGGAGGCAGCAGUGGGGGAUAUUGCACAAUGGGGGAAACCCUGAAUGCAGCGACGCCGCGUGAAGGAUGACGUAUUUCGGUAUGUAAACUUCUAUCAGCGGGGAAGAAGAUGACGGUACCCGACUAAGAAGCCCCGGCUAACUACGUGCCAGCCGCCGC
This 483-nucleotide ribosomal RNA is filed under the name uncultured bacterium. RNAcentral's name for it is "bacterial SSU rRNA". It matches the Rfam family "Bacterial small subunit ribosomal RNA", at positions 26 to 518 of the family's 1533-position model. The record is from RNAcentral.